UGGUGGAGUGAUUUGUCUGGUUAAUUCCGUUAACGAACGAGACCUCGUCCUGCUAAAUAGUUGAUGAUACUCUUUGGGUAACGUCGGCUUCUUAGAGGGACUAUCGGUUACUAGCCGAUGGAAGUUCGAGGCAAUAACA
Molecule: ribosomal RNA, 139 nt
Filed under: uncultured eukaryote
Lineage: Eukaryota
Description: partial 18S ribosomal RNA
Rfam family: Eukaryotic small subunit ribosomal RNA
Source: RNAcentral